UUGACAAAAGUUCCAAAACUUUUAAGAUACAUCAUAGAGUAUUAAAGUUAAUACAUCACUUUACACAAUCCUCUCACCACUACAUUAGCAUCACUGCAAGUGUUAGCACAGCGUAACAGACAGUGAGAUAAGUAUCACGUUUUGGGCCUCACAUAACAAGCACCAGUAGUUUAGUGGUAGAAUGCUGUACCGUGGGGGUCAGUGGCCCUGGGUUCGAUUCCUGGCUGGUGUACGAUUUUUUUUUUCCUGUGCAUUUCAGUUUCACAAACCAACAACCAACUUUUUUGCAAACCUUUGUUGUGUGGUGAUUACGGGAACAGGGCAUGAGUGUAUCACAGGUGUGCUAGUCACCUCACCCUUUUUUUAAUUUGAUAACUAACUGUAGCUUGUUUAGUUAUAGUAACAGGCAGGCCAUAAAGUCAUAUUUAUCACAUUGGAGGCAACACAUUAAUGUCCUUUAUUUUUGGGUGGUUUUCAAUUUUGGGGGGGCAUCUUAGUGGCUCAGUUCAACAACAAUUAUUUAACCUUUAUUGCCUAGAAUAUAAGUGAAACCAUAUUCUUUGUCAAAUUCAAUUUUUUUUGUUCAUUAGGAUUCACAGAGGUUAAUAAGAAGAUUGGAGUCUUAGAAAUGGACUGUCAUAAGAUCAUGCCCAUCUGUCUCUGAAACAUACGUAUACAUUCGGGAAUAAAUUUUUUUGAGUUAAUCAUUAAAGUUUUAGGGACCCAGUCUGACUAACCCAUCAGUUAGUUGCUGAUCAAAUAAUGAAUGGGAUAAAUUUCUAAUGUUUUGUAAGUUGGCUUUAUUACAAUCAUAACUAUUCACUUUGUCUGCCUACUCAAUAUUACCAGUUCAUGUUCAUCAUUAUAUCUCGUCAUAUAAGUACCUUUUCUACUUAUGUAGAUGUAAAUGUAGGUUUGUAAGUAACCAUAAAAAGGGGAAAAAAUACUAUCAUAUCAGUGGGGAAUUGAACCUGUGCUACUUUCCUCAGCAUCACCAUCCAGCCCCCUUAUCAGUGUCACUUCCUGUGUGAAGGUGGAUGGCGCCUCAGUAUGGUUAAGGGCGUAAAAUGUUGCAUCAUGACUACUUGCUAAAGUCACAUACACACCAUGUGUUCCAGUUCCGUUGGGAAGGAAGGGCUGUGUCCUCACUCAAAGAGAAGCAGGAGCAUACCACUGUCAUGCACAGCUCAAUGGGGAUACAACAAGGUAAAAAUCAGCUGUUUCACUGUAUGGCAUAGAAUUAUGUAUUUACUGAUUAGACAUAAAAUCACCGACGCAUUUUUCAUUUCAACAGUGAAUGAAAUAUUUUCAUACACAUGCUCUUGCAUGGUGAUGGUAGUCACAGCCUUUUCUAAUCUUCUUUUAAGAAACAAAAGUAAGACAACUGUGCCCGUUUUGCCCCACUGAACCAUUGCAUAUCAGGUGGUACUGAUGCCCAAAGUGUAGGAUAACCUACUAAAUAAAAAUUCCCCCCCACACAGAUUGGUGGGUAGGUUGGACUCUGCAAGAAUCUUUCACUUCAUGUAACAUAGUUUAUCACUUUUUAUAAAUGAGCCCACUCAGUAAAACCCUAAGCCUGUGAGGUAAUGACUCAAAGUCCCAAGUGUUUGUCAUCAUUGAAGGCUGUGGCAGCAGCCUGGAGUGUACAUUUUAGUAUAUGCUAUAUAUAUAUAUACACACACACACACACACACACACACACACACACACACACACACACACACACACACACAGCCCUGGUUCACUUUAGCCACUUUAGUUUAGUUUUAGAUCAAUGUCUCUUUUCAAUCAACCACAUGCUCAAUAUGUUGAUUCCAGCCAUAUAGUCACUCCUACUUUAGCAAAGAAUCAGGAGCUAAAAUGCUGAAACAUAACUGAUUUUGUUGUUCUACUGUCUUGGCCUGGUUUCAGCUAGACUACCAGGGCUGCCGCCACAACCACACGAGCAAUCAGCACCUCAAAGAACAGUAAGAAGCACAGCCCUUUUACUUCAGUCUUGCUUGUAUUAGGAGUAAAACAUUUUAAUUUUCAAGAGAAAGUGUACAUCAUGGAUUUACAAAUUAUAUUAAUUACCACUCCACUUUUGAACAUGAGGUACACAGCCUCUACGCUGCAGCGGUUAGCAUCCCUGAUUACAAAUCUGCAGGCCUGGGUUCGAAUCCCAGCCUGGGCGGUCAGCGUGCAGCCCACCCAGCUGUUCAUCCUUCCUUUUGGGAACAAGUACCUGGGGAAACCUGAGGAAGGUAAACUGUGGUAACCUGAAUGUUAUGCUGGCCGUGUCAAGUUAAGGGUUCUCUCCCACCACAGGCUCAAAGGGCCAACCAGGUGGAGAUGAGCACCAUCGCCAAGCGCAACUCUAGCGUGUGCUCCCAACUUAACCUAUACAUUUUACACUGUACUUUUACCAUAUUUUUUAUCCUCCUCUGUUGAAGUUACUGAUUGCAUUAGGAAAUUAGUGGAAUAAGAACUAGCAUCAGAGCUAAAAUAUUUCCAGUUGCUUAAAUAACACAUUUGACUUCAUCCAUUUACUCACCAAAGUAGAUCAAAUUACCAUCUGAUGCAACCUUGGUAGAUUAAGCAGUUACAAUACACACUUGUUUUCUGGAAUCUGGGAAUGUGAGUGACAUGAAAUUAACAUGUCAAAUCUCUACACUAUGAACUCCACAAAAGCUGAAUGAUCUUAGAACUGUUACAUACACACUUAUUCACUGAUAGCAUUUUCAGUAGUACAAUACAUGGGGCCAAAGAGAUGUUUGUGAUUGUGUUACUGUCUUUUCAGGAAUUCAUUUAAAAAUGAAUAAGUGCUGUGUUCACAUCAGGAUUCCAGUACUGUAUAUGCAUGGUAACAUUAACAAUAUCACAGAUGCUGAAAAAGAAUGUUUGCAUUUCACUAAACAUCUAGCAUUACUUUUUACUCUAUGUAAUGACAAUUUUUUCUUCCUGUAGGAAGUUAAGACAUUCUACAAGUGUAACAUGGAAAGCUUCUGAGGACUUGCUAUUAUAGAAAAAGACUGAAAUAGUUAACGAAGGAAGAAAAAGUCAACAUGUUUACCAACUAAUGUUUUGCAGAAGUAUACCCUUUGCAACAACACCUGGUACAGCAGUAGCUUGAGAGAUGCAAGGCUACUAAGUCUUUCCAAACACCUGUCAAAUGUAUAAAGGUAGCACUACUAGUUGUAGUGCUGGCAGAGUAUAGAUGUUACACCUUAAAUUAAUAUAUGCUUCUGGAGAGGGUGUAGUUACCAUCCAACCUAAUAAAUUAUUUUUCCCUUACAGGUCAAUCAGGCAAGAGACUUGUCAAACAGCAUGAAAUUCUUUCAUAUCCAGAGCCCUUAUGUUCAUACUGGAACACCUGGCUCCAAGUACGUAAGUGAUUUUAUGACAUUUCUACAUACACACACAGGGAUGUUGAUUGUGCAAGACCCAUGACUAAAUAUAUCAUUUUCUAUAAGCCUUUCUGUUGAAUGUUUUUUUCUGACAGUGAACAUUUUAAAUAAAUUAAAUUUUGAGAAAUAUGAAAUUUAUACACUGAGUUUACACUUCUUACGUACAGCUCUUGCAACUACAAUACUCAGAUACAUUUUUAAUAUGUACACGAUUAUUCUCCUCACUAUUCAGGGUACAAUAUUCUCGGAUUUAUUUAUGUAAGUGGCACAGAUAACCUUGGAAAUUAAGGAUGUUUAAAACAAGGAACUGCAUAACCACCAAUACAUUAAAAAAGGAAAAAAUCCCUUCACAAGUCAAAAUAAUAAUAUAUAUUAAAAAGGUGUACUUUCCCUCUGUUACUGAUGUAAAGGACAUAUGGUGUGGUGGAAAGUCUAGUGCACUUCAUUCGUGAGCAUAUCCCAACAUGCUAUUGUGCUAAACUUGCAGAUUUUGUUCUUUUUACUGGUUAUCAUGGUAUAUGUGUAGCUGGCAAAAAAGUAUAGAACACCUUUUUUUUUUUUACAACAAAGGAGACAGCUCAAGGGCACAAAAAAAAAGGAAACAAUAAUAAAAAAAAGCCCGCAACUCGCUGCUCCUAUGGGUCGACUGAAUAGAAUUUGAGCGAAAUCUAUAGACAGGGUGUUGUGUUGGUCAGGUUAGUACCAAUGGCUAGGGUCUAGUCAUUGGUACCCCCCUAACCAACAAAAUGCCAGAUUUGGAUUUUGUUUAAAUUCUGUUCAACAAACCCAUGGGUGUUCGAUACUUUUUAGACGGUUAUACAUUGAAGUGUCAAUGAAGGAGGUUUGGUACUUGUAUGUAGCACAUGAAAAUGACUUCAAAAAUAUUUCUCAAUGAUGGCACCCUACUACUAUUUUCUUAGUUUCAAUUCCAUUUUUCUCCCAAUUUACUUCUCAUGAUACUUUGUCCCUAUAAAGAAUGAGAAGUGUGAACUCACUAUACCUCCUAGGAGUGAUGGAGGAGACAUGUCAGUUAAAUUGUGUGAAUGUAUGAAGAUGAGUGGCUGGUGACCAGUUAGCUGUUUCUCAUGCACACACAAGCAUGCAUGCAUGUACACACACACACACACACACACACACACACACACACACACACACACACACA
Molecule: long non-coding RNA, 4548 nt
Organism: Eriocheir sinensis (Chinese mitten crab)
Lineage: Eukaryota; Metazoa; Arthropoda; Malacostraca; Decapoda; Varunidae
Exons: 2
Source: RefSeq, a predicted model, not a curated record